CAAAUACUCCCUCCGUCCGGAAAUACUUGUCAUCAAAAUGGAUAAAAGGAAAUGUAUCUAGACGUAUUUUAGUUUUAGAUACAUCUCUUUUUAUCCAUUUUGAUGACAAGUAUUUUUGGACGGAGGGAGUAGAAA
Triticum aestivum (bread wheat) is the source of this 135-nucleotide non-coding RNA. NCBI's taxonomy places the organism in Eukaryota, Viridiplantae, Streptophyta, Magnoliopsida, Poales, Poaceae. The record is from Rfam.